AGAACUUAGCAGAGAUUGGCUUUUGGUGCCUUCGGGAACUCUGAGACAGGUGCUGCAUGGCUGUCGUCAGCUCGUGUUGUGAAAUGUUGGGUUAAGUCCCGCAACGAGCGCAACCCUUAUCCUUUGUUGCCAGCGGUUAGGCCGGGAACUCAAAGGAGACUGCCAGUGAUAAACUGGAGGAAGGUGGGGAUGACCGUCAAGUCAUCAUGGCCCUUACGAGUAGGGCUACACACGUGCUACAAUGGCGCAUACAAAGAGAAGCGACCUCGCGAGAGCAAGCGGACCUCAUAAAGUGCGUCGUAGUCCGGAUUGGAGUCUGCAACUCGACUCCAUGAAGUCGGAAUCGCUAGUAAUCGUGGAUCAGAAUGCCACGGUGAAUACGUUCCCGGGCCUUGUACACACCGCCCGUCACACCAUGGGAGUGGGUUGCAAAAGAAGUAGGUAGCUUAACCUUCGGGAGGGCGCUUACCACUUUGUGAUUCAUGACUGGGGUGAAGUCGUAACAAGGUAAGCGUAGUGCU
This 521-nucleotide ribosomal RNA is filed under the name uncultured bacterium. RNAcentral's name for it is "bacterial SSU rRNA". It matches the Rfam family "Bacterial small subunit ribosomal RNA", at positions 992 to 1509 of the family's 1533-position model. The record is from RNAcentral.